RNAcentral lists this ribosomal RNA (635 nucleotides) under uncultured bacterium. RNAcentral's name for it is "bacterial SSU rRNA". It matches the Rfam family "Bacterial small subunit ribosomal RNA", at positions 56 to 671 of the family's 1533-position model. The record is from RNAcentral.
UGCAGUCGCACGAGAAAGGUUCCUUCGGGAGCUGAGUAAAGUGGCGGACGGGUGGGUAAUGCAUAGAUAACUUACCCUUGAGAUGGGGACAACAUUUCGAAAGGAGUGCUAAUACCCAAUACUGUCGCUCGCCUGCGGGUGAGUGAUGAAAGGAGGCCUCUGUUUUAAGCUUCCGCUCAAGGAGGGGUCUAUGUCCUAUUAGCUUGUUGGUGAGGUAAAGGCUCACCAAGGCUUCGAUGGGUAGCCGGCCUGAGAGGGUGAUCGGCCACAUUGGGACUGAGACACUGCCCAGACUCCUACGGGAGGCUGCAGUCGAGAAUCUUCCGCAAUGCGCGCAAGCGUGACGGAGCGACGCCGCGUGGGUGAUGAAGGCCUUCGGGUUGUAAAGCCCUGUCAGCUGCCAAGAAUGGCGGGUCGUGAAUAGCGAUCCCGUUUGACUAAGCAGCAGAGGAAGCACCGGCUAAAUACGUGCCAGCAGCCGCGGUAAUACGUAUGGUGCAAACGUUGUUCGGAAUCACUGGGCUUAAAGCGGGCGUAGGCGGUCUGGUAAGUUCGUUGUGGAAGCCCUCGGCUCAACCGAGGAACUGCAACGGAUACUGCCAGGCUAGAGUGCAGGAGGGGAGAGUGGAAUUCCU